ACGAACGCUGGCGGCGCGCUUAACACAUGCCAGUCGAACGGAAAGGCCUGCUUUCCCUUGUGGAUUGCGGGUACUCGAGUGGCGAACGGGUGAGUAACACGUGAGUGAUCUGCCCCCAACUUGGGUAUAAGCCUGGGAAACUGGGUCUAAUUCCCGAUAGGACUGCAGGGUGGUGCCUGUGGUGGAAAACGAUUUUCUAGUGGUUGGGGAUGAGCUCGCGGCCUAUCAGCUUGUUGGUGGGGUAAUGGCCUACCAAGGCGGCGACGGGUAGCCGGCCUGAGAGGGUGGACGGCCACAUUGGGACUGAGAUACGGCCCAGACGCCUACGGGAGGCAGCAGUGGGGAAUAUUGCACAAUGGGCGGAAGCCUGAUGCAGCGACGCCGCGUGGGGGAUGACGGCCUUCGGGUGGUAAACUCCUUUCGACCGCGAGGAAGCCACCUGGUUGGAAGGGUGGUGACGGUAGUGGUAGAAGAAGCACCGGCUAACUACGUG
Molecule: ribosomal RNA, 493 nt
Filed under: uncultured bacterium
Lineage: Bacteria
Description: partial 16S ribosomal RNA
Rfam family: Bacterial small subunit ribosomal RNA
Source: RNAcentral